GAUGAACGCUGGCGGCGUGCCUAAUCCAUGCAAGUCGAACGAGGGUGCUUGCACCCUAGUGGCGAACGGGUGAGUAACACGUAGGUAACCUGCCUUAUAGUUUGGGAUACCCGCUGGAAACGGUGGCUAAUACCGGAUAUGUGUCUUCCUGGCAUCACAAAGACAUGAAAGGGGCCUCAAAGCCUCGCUAUUACAUGGACCUGCGGCGCAUUAGUUAGUUGGUGAGAUAACAGCCCACCAAGACCAGGAUGCGUAGCCGACCUGAGAGGGUGAUCGGCCACAUUGGGACUGAGAUACGGCCCAAACUCCUACGGGAGGCAGCAGGAAGGAGUAUUCGGCAAUGGGGGAAACCCUGACCGACCAACGCCGCGUGUAUGAUGAAGGUCUUCGGAUUGUAAAAUAUUGUUGUAUGGGACGAAUGGUAAAUAGAGGAAAUGCUAUUCUAUUUUUGGGGUACCUUACUAAAAAGCCACGGCUAACUACGUGCCAGCAGCCGCGGUAAUACAUACGUGGCAAGCGUUAUCCGGAAUUAUUGGGCGUAAAGAGUGAGCAGGCGGCAGUUUAAGUCUAGAGUUAAAGCGUGGGGCUCACCCCCAUAAUGCUCUAGAAACUGAACAGCUAGAGUGCGAGAGAGGUAAGUGGAAUUCCGAGUGUAGCGGUUGGAAUGCGUAGAUAUUCGAAGGAACACCAGAGGCGAAGGCGGCUUACUGGCUCGUUACUGACGCUCAGUCAAGAAAGCGUGGGGAGCAAAUAGGAUUAGAUACCCUAGUAGUCCACGCUGUAAACGAUGAGAACUAAAUGUUGCCGAAAGGCAGUGUUGAACAUAACGCAUUAAGUUCUCCGCCUGGGGAGUACGCUCGCAAGAGUGAAACUUAAAGGAAUUGACGGGGACCCGCACAAGCAGUGGAGCAUGUGGAUUAAUUAGAAGAUACGCGAAGAACCUUAUCAGGGCUUGACAUGGGGAUUAAAGCGCUAGAGAUAGCGCCAUAUACAAUACCACACAGGUGGUGCAUGGUUGUCGUCAGCUCGUGUCGUGAGAUGUUGGGUUAAGUCCCGCAACGAGCGCAACCCUUGUUCCUAGUUACCAGCAUUUAGUUGGGGACUCUAGGGAGACUGCCGGUGUUAACCCGGAGGAAGGUGGGGAUGACGUCAAAUCAUCAUGCCCUUUAUGUCCUGGGCGUCACACGUGCUACAAUGGCCAGUACAAAGAGAUGCGAUAUCGCGAGGUGGAGCAAAUCUCAUAAAGCUGGUCUCAGUUCGGAUCGGAGUCUGCAACUUGACUCCGUGAAGCUGGAAUUGCUAGUAAUCGUGAAUCAGCCAUGUCACGGUGAAUACGUUCCCGGGUUUUGUACACACCGCCCGUCAAACCAUGAGAGCCGGUAAUAUCCGAAGUCGUUAGCCUAACCGUAAGGAGGGCGGCGCCUAAGGUAGGACUGGUGAUUGGGGUU
RNAcentral lists this ribosomal RNA (1448 nucleotides) under uncultured Bacillota bacterium. Its description in RNAcentral is "bacterial SSU rRNA". It matches the Rfam family "Bacterial small subunit ribosomal RNA". Lineage: Bacteria; Bacillati; Bacillota. The record is from RNAcentral.